RNAcentral lists this ribosomal RNA (793 nucleotides) under uncultured bacterium. RNAcentral describes it as "bacterial SSU rRNA". It matches the Rfam family "Bacterial small subunit ribosomal RNA", at positions 8 to 796 of the family's 1533-position model. The record is from RNAcentral.
AGAGUUUGAUCAUGGCUCAGAUUGAACGCUGGCGGCAGGCCUAACACAUGCAAGUCGAGCGGAUGAGUGGAGCUUGCUCCAUGAUUCAGCGGCGGACGGGUGAGUAAUGCCUAGGAAUCUGCCUGGUAGUGGGGGACAACGUUUCGAAAGGAACGCUAAUACCGCAUACGUCCUACGGGAGAAAACAGGGGACCUUCGGGCCUUGCGCUAUCAGAUGAGCCUAGGUCGGAUUAGCUAGUUGGUGAGGUAAAGGCUCACCAAGGCGACGAUCCGUAACUGGUCUGAGAGGAUGAUCAGUCACACUGGAACUGAGACACGGUCCAGACUCCUACUGGAGGCAGCAGUGGGGAAUAUUGGACAAUGGGCGAAAGCCUGAUCCAGCCAUGCCGCGUGUGUGAAGAAGGUCUUCGGAUUGUAAAGCACUUUAAGUUGGGAGGAAGGGCAGUAAGCUAAUACCUUGCUGUUUUGACGUUACCGACAGAAUAAGCACCGGCUAACUUCGUGCCAGCAGCCGCGGUAAUACGAAGGGUGCAAGCGUUAAUCGGAAUUACUGGGCGUAAAGCGCGCGUAGGUGGUUCAGCAAGUUGGAUGUGAAAGCCCCGGGCUCAACCUGGGAACUGCAUCCAAAACUACUGAGCUAGAGUACGGUAGAGGGUGGUGGAAUUUCCUGUGUAGCGGUGAAAUGCGUAGAUAUAGGAAGGAACACCAGUGGCGAAGGCGACCACCUGGACUGAUACUGGCACUGAGGUGCGAAAGCGUGGGGAGCAAACAGGAUUAGAUACCCCGGUAGUCC